RNAcentral lists this ribosomal RNA (451 nucleotides) under uncultured bacterium. RNAcentral describes it as "partial 16S ribosomal RNA". It matches the Rfam family "Bacterial small subunit ribosomal RNA", at positions 29 to 523 of the family's 1533-position model. The record is from RNAcentral.
AGCGAACGCUGGCGGCAGGCUUAACACAUGCAAGUCGAGCGGAUGUAGCAAUACAUCAGCGGCAGACGGGAGAGUAACACGUGGGAACGCGCCCUUCGGUUCGGAAUAACUCAGGGAAACUUGAGCUAAUACCGGAUACGCCCUAACGGGGAAAGAUUUAUCGCAGAAGGAACGGCCCGCGUCCGAUUAGCUAGUUGGUGAGGUAAUGGCGCACCAAGGCGACGAUCGGUAGCUGGUCUGAGAGGGUGGCCAGCCUCACGGGGACUGGGACACGGACCAGACUCCUACGGGAGGGAGCAGUGGGGAAUAUUGGACAAUGGGCGCAAGCCUGAUCCAGCCAUGCCGCGUGGAUGAUGAAGGCCUUAGGGUUGUAAAGUCCUUUUAACGGGGAAGAUAAUGACGGUACCCGUAGAAUAAGCCCCGGCUAACUUCGUGCCAGCCGCCGCCGUAA